CAAUGGAUGGUACUGCUCUGGCUGGGGUUCACUUUCUGGUGAGCCGGUAUGCUCUUCACUGGGUGUGCCGAGGAACCAGGACUUUUACUUUGAAAAAAUUAGAGUGUUUAAAGCAGGCCUAUGCUUGAAUACAUUAGCAUGGAAUAAUAGAAUAGGACUUUGGUUCUAUUUUGUUGGUUUCUAGGACCGAAGUAAUGAUUAAUAGGGAUAGUUGGGGGCAUUAGUAUUUAGUAGCUAGAGGUGAAAUUCUUGGAUUUAUGAAAGACUAACUUCUGCGAAAGCAUUUGCCAAGGAUGUUUUCAUUAAUCAAGAACGAAAGUUAGGGGAUCGAAGACGAUCAGAUACCGUUGUAGUCUUAACCAUAAACUAUGCCGACUAGGGAUCAGACGAUGUUACUUUACUGACUCGUUUGGCACCUUAUGAGAAAUCAAAGUUUUUGGGUUCCGGGGGGAGUAUGGUCGCAAGGCUGAAACUUAAAGGAAUUGACGGAAGGGCACCACCAGGAGUGGAGCCUGCGGCUUAAUUUGACUCAACACGGGGAAACUCACCAGGUCCAGACAUAGUAAGGAUUGACAGAUUGAGAGCUCUUUCUUGAUUCUAUGGGUGGUGGUGCAUGGCCGUUCUUAGUUGGUGGAGUGAUUUGUCUGCUUAAUUGCGUUAACGAACGAGACCUUAACCUGCUAAAUAGUUAUGCCAACUUUUGUUGGUAGUCAACUUCUUAGAGGGACUGUCGGCGAUUAGCCGAUGGAAGUUUUAGGCAAUAACAGGUCUGUUAUGCCCUUAGAUGUCCUGGGCCGCACGCGCGCUAC
RNAcentral lists this ribosomal RNA (809 nucleotides) under uncultured Densosporaceae. RNAcentral's name for it is "SSU rRNA". It matches the Rfam family "Eukaryotic small subunit ribosomal RNA", at positions 668 to 1501 of the family's 1831-position model. The record is from RNAcentral. Lineage: Eukaryota; Fungi; Mucoromycota; Endogonomycetes; Endogonales; Densosporaceae.